This 253-nucleotide ribosomal RNA is filed under the name uncultured bacterium. RNAcentral's name for it is "partial 16S ribosomal RNA". It matches the Rfam family "Bacterial small subunit ribosomal RNA", at positions 524 to 776 of the family's 1533-position model. The record is from RNAcentral.
GACAGAGGGUGCAAACGUUGUUCGGAAUUACUGGGCGUAAAGCGUGUGUAGGCUGCUACAUAAGUCGGAUGUGAAAGCCCCGGGCUCAACCCGGGAAGUGCACUCGAUACUGCGUAGCUUGAGUCUCGGAGAGGUUGGUGGAAUUCUCGGUGUAGAGGUGAAAUGCGUAGAUAUCGGGAGGAACACCAGUGGCGAAGGCGACUACCUGGCCUGUUCUUGACGCUGAGGCGCGAAAGCUAGGGGAGCAAACGGG